RNAcentral lists this ribosomal RNA (803 nucleotides) under uncultured bacterium. RNAcentral's name for it is "bacterial SSU rRNA". It matches the Rfam family "Bacterial small subunit ribosomal RNA", at positions 8 to 810 of the family's 1533-position model. The record is from RNAcentral.
AGAGUUUGCUUUUGGCUCAGGAUGAACGCUGGCGGCGUGCUUAACACAUGCAAGUCGAACGAAGCACUUUUGAUUGAUUUCUUCGGAAAGAGAGAGACUGUGACUGAGUGGCGGACGGGUGAGUAACGCGUGGGUAACCUGCCUCAUACAGGGGGAUAACAGUUAGAAAUGACUGCUAAUACCGCAUAAGCACACAGCUUCGCAUGAAGCAGUGUGAAAAACUCCGGUGGUAUGAGAUGGACCCGCGUCUGAUUAGGUAGUUGGUGGGGUAACGGCCCACCAAGCCGACGAUCAGUAGCCGACCUGAGAGGGUGACCGGCCACAUUGGGACUGAGACACGGCCCAAACUCCUACGGGAGGCAGCAGUGGGGAAUAUUGCACAAUGGGGGAAACCCUGAUGCAGCGACGCCGCGUGAAGGAUGAAGUAUUUCGGUAUGUAAACUUCUAUCAGCAGGGAAGAAAAUGACGGUACCUGACUAAGAAGCCCCGGCUAACUACGUGCCAGCAGCCGCGGUAAUACGUAGGGGGCAAGCGUUAUCCGGAUUUACUGGGUGUAAAGGGAGCGUAGACGGUAAUGCAAGUCUGGAGUGAAAACCCGGGGCUCAACCCCGGGACUGCUUUGGAAACUGUGUAACUAGAGUGUCGGAGAGGCAAGUGGAAUUCCUAGUGUAGCGGUGAAAUGCGUAGAUAUUAGGAGGAACACCAGUGGCGAAGGCGGCUUGCUGGACGAUGACUGACGUUGAGGCUCGAAAGCGUGGGGAGCAAACAGGAUUAGAUACCCUGGUAGUCACGCCGUAAACGAU